GAGUUGUUGUGAAAAAAAAAAAAAUCAAGUGAUUGAUAUGAUUUUUGUUCGUUAGAUACAAAUGAAAAAAAUAAUUAAAAAUUCCAAGUUUUUUUAUGCUAUAGUACUCAUUUUACUUUUGCUAUUUCUUAUUGCAAUUGAUGCUAGAGAUUCCAAAUGUACUUCCUUCCUCGAUUGUAUGUUCCCUUGCAUCCUACUUCGUGGGACACCAGUAUGCAUAAACGGUCAAUGUUUUUGCAUUCGUUAGUUAAGUGAACAAUAAUUAUAGAACUAUAGAA
Molecule: long non-coding RNA, 278 nt
Organism: Vicia villosa (hairy vetch)
Lineage: Eukaryota; Viridiplantae; Streptophyta; Magnoliopsida; Fabales; Fabaceae
Exons: 2
Source: RefSeq, a predicted model, not a curated record